AUCGUUCUAGUUCAGACAUGUGAUGAAUGGGAGAGCACACGGCUGUGUGACAUGUGCGGUCCUCUUGUUACGACAUAGCACAUUAUUCUUCUGAUG
Bufo bufo (common toad) is the source of this 96-nucleotide small nucleolar RNA. RefSeq annotates it as small nucleolar RNA U13. NCBI's taxonomy places the organism in Eukaryota, Metazoa, Chordata, Amphibia, Anura, Bufonidae. The transcript has a single exon. The record is from RefSeq and is a predicted model, not a curated record.